CGGGCGGGGCCUUUCUGGCUGGUGUGUUUAUUUCCUUUCCUUCGCAGGCGGUUUGAGUUCGCUUGCUAGGGGGAAAAGGAGUUGGUGAUUCCAGGUGAUGACCCAGCUUCACCGGCUUUCCAGCCGAUGCUGGAUGAGAAUGUUACCCCCAUGAACGGAAUGCUCCUCUACCCGUCCAUUUUUGAAGGUCUUGCCCCAGGUGCUCCGCUCAGGGAUGGACAGCAACUGCCCCGCCAUUUGAGGAGUCCAGGCAGGAGAGGGCCACACGCCCCUGCCUCCGGGAGAGACCUCUCCUCUGGACUCUGACUUCUCAGAAACCACUUGUAAGCCUUUGAAGAGCAGGAUCGGCGUCCGGUUAUCAGUGCAGCAGUGAUCAGGACAACAGCCCUCACCUUAAC
Molecule: long non-coding RNA, 398 nt
Organism: Suricata suricatta (meerkat)
Lineage: Eukaryota; Metazoa; Chordata; Mammalia; Carnivora; Herpestidae
Exons: 3
Source: RefSeq, a predicted model, not a curated record